AAAAUUGUUGAGAAGAAAUCUGACAGAUGUAUAGUGUUUAAGAACUGCACAGGGCAGGAUAACUAUGUUGCCUCACAAAAUCAAAUUGAAAAGAUUUUAGGUGAUCGUACACUAAGAAUAUAUUAUUAUCUCACUGGAGAAUGGAAAGUCAACGUGUGUGGAGAAAACACUGGCGAUAUCAUAGAUGAACUGCAGGAGAAAGGAAGGAUAACAACUAGGCAAACAGGAAUCCCAUCAAGUUCAACAAAAGGAAGUGCAAAGUCCUGCAGCUGGAAAGGUGUAAUUCCAUCUACCAGUAUGGUCUGGGAGCCAGUCAACUGGUAAGCAGCUUUGCAGGAAAGGAUUUGGGGUCCUGGUGAAUACCAAAUUGGCCAUGAGCUAGCAAUGCAUGCUUGCAGCAAAGGCUAACAGCUUCCUGGGCUGCAUUACAAGAGCAUCGUGAGCUGGUCAAGGGAGAUGAUUCUUCCCCUCUGCUCAGCAAUGGUGAGGCACAGCUGGAAAGCUGUGUCCAGCACUAGGCUUCUGAAUACAAGAAGAUGCAGAUACACUUGAGUAGGUCUAGUGAGGGGCCAUGAAGAUUAUUAAAGGAUAGGAGCAUCUGGCUUAAGAGCUGAUCUGGCUUAAGAGCUCCAUCUGGCUGAUGGAGCUGCCUGUGGCUGUUUAACCUGUUAAGAGAAAGUUCAGGGAUGAUUUUAGCAGUGUGUAUAAAUGUCUGAUAGGGGGAGACUAAAGAAGAAUGGAUCCAGGUUCUCAUCAAUAGCAGUCAAUGAAUGGUUAAGCAGAAAUGGGCAUAAACUGAAGUGCAGGAAAUUGCAUUUAAACAUAAGAAAAUGAAUUUUUACUGCGAGGGUGGUCAACCACUAUUUGGCCAGAGAAAACGCGGGAAAUAACGAGUUAUGAAAAAAGCAGCUUUUUCAUUCAUGAUUGCUUCUUGUGUUCCUCCAAUGUUGUGUCAAUUCAAGUCUUCCAGAAGGUCUUAAUGAAAAGAUUUGCACAUCAGCUAGAUUGUUGCAGACUCACACUAUACUCACAUUCAUCAGUAUAAAUAUUAAACAAAGAAGAGAUAUUAAAAAUCACAUAUGACCUGGAUUGAAAUUGAACUGAACUAAAGCAUCUGUCUUUUUGUCUUAAUAUGACUAUAAUCAUCACACAUAUACACAGGUGUAUAAAAGCAGAACACUUCUUUA
Molecule: long non-coding RNA, 1187 nt
Filed under: Anser brachyrhynchus (Pink-footed goose)
Lineage: Eukaryota; Metazoa; Chordata; Aves; Anseriformes; Anatidae
Description: lncRNA (ENSABRG00000017978.1)
Source: RNAcentral